UCUCCGUAGGUGAACCUGCGGAGGGAUCAUUACAGAGUCCAUGCCCUCACGGGUAGAUCUCCCACCCUGUGUUAUUAUACUUUGUUGCUUUGGCAGGCCGCCCGCGUGGGCUACCGGCUCCAGCUGGUAAGUGCCUGCCAGAGGACCCCAAACUCUGAAUAUUUUAUUGUCUGAGUACUAUAUAAUAGUUUAAAACUUUCAACAACGGAUCUCUUGGUUCUG
This 222-nucleotide unclassified non-coding RNA is filed under the name plant metagenome. RNAcentral describes it as "partial contains small subunit ribosomal RNA, internal transcribed spacer 1, and 5.8S ribosomal RNA". The record is from RNAcentral.